RNAcentral lists this long non-coding RNA (812 nucleotides) under Malus domestica (apple). Its description in RNAcentral is "long non-coding RNA (MDOM_LNC008367)". Lineage: Eukaryota; Viridiplantae; Streptophyta; Magnoliopsida; Rosales; Rosaceae. The record is from RNAcentral.
AUUCAUACUCUGGCCAGAGAUUCUUAAUCAUAUCAUAGAGUAUUCUCCCUCAAAUGGUUUGAAGGCUAGAGAUCUCUUGUUGCGCAUUCACUUACCUCCGUGGCUAAGUGGCUUAACCCCAACUAUGUCGUGGACACCCUCUGACGGAGUGACUUUGACAUAGUCAAAGAUCAAGGACCUAACCACAAGACAACUAUGAUGCCUUAGGUCAAAUGACUACUUUGCAUUAUCCCAACCAUGAGUUCUCAUGUGACAUGAGUAUGAAAACUCCUCGUUGAUCGUGUUCAAUGGACUCAUUCUUUAUUGAGCACCUACAUGCUUAUCUUGGUGUCAGUCACACCAAUGACUCGAGACCAGUCACUCUCCCUAAGAGAAUACAUAAUACGUAUUGAUCUUAACGGACUAUCUAUGCCCAAUUGGCAAUCAUAUGAUCAUGAAUGUUUAGGAUAUGUUUACGAAAGAGAAUGGUCUCAUGAAUUUAACUUCUUUAGAUCACAUUCUCCCAAUUGCAUAUUCCUUGGACUUAUUGUUUAAGCAUAUAACAUUUAUAUGAGACGGCUUAAAACAAUAAUCUUUGCUCUUUAUAUUAAACUAGAUUAGUUUAAUAUGUGAAAUGUCCGUAAAGUAUCAUCAUAUGAUUGGUUUUAGGGCACAUUUCCAACAAUUCUUGCCUAUAAUUGUAAUCAGAACUUUUUAUAUGUCUUAUAUCAUUACAAUUUAAACAUGUUACUUUAUUACUUUUAUCUGGGAAAUAGCUACACUUAUUACAUCUUUCUGUCAUAAAACCUGAGUAUUUUUUAAAUUUAUGAAUA